RNAcentral lists this ribosomal RNA (660 nucleotides) under Firmicutes bacterium AT-BI-10. RNAcentral's name for it is "bacterial SSU rRNA". It matches the Rfam family "Bacterial small subunit ribosomal RNA", at positions 55 to 694 of the family's 1533-position model. The record is from RNAcentral. Lineage: Bacteria; Bacillati; Bacillota.
AUGCAGUCGACGCACGAAGUUGAAGAGCUUGCUCUUUAACCAAGUGAGUGGCGGACGGGUGAGUAACACGUGGGUAACCUGCCCAUUAGAGGGGGAUAACAUUCGGAAACGGAUGCUAAUACCGCAUAGUUUCAGGAAUCGCAUGAUUCUUGAAGGAAAGGUGGCUUCGGCUACCACUAAUGGAUGGACCCGCGGCGUAUUAGCUAGUUGGUGAGGUAAUGGCUCACCAAGGCAAUGAUACGUAGCCGACCUGAGAGGGUGAUCGGCCACACUGGGACUGAGACACGGCCCAGACUCCUACGGGAGGCAGCAGUAGGGAAUCUUCCGCAAUGGACGAAAGUCUGACGGAGCAACGCCGCGUGAGUGAAGAAGGUUUUCGGAUCGUAAAACUCUGUUGUUAAAGAAGAACAAGGAUGAGAGUAACUGCUCAUCCCCUGACGGUAUUUAACCAGAAAGCCACGGCUAACUACGUGCCAGCAGCCGCGGUAAUACGUAGGUGGCAAGCGUUGUCCGGAUUUAUUGGGCGUAAAGCGAGCGCAGGCGGUUCUUUAAGUCUGAUGUGAAAGCCCCCGGCUCAACCGGGGAGGGUCAUUGGAAACUGGAGAACUUGAGUGCAGAAGAGGAGAGUGGAAUUCCACGUGUAGCGGUGAAAUGCGUAGA